CCUACGGGAGGCAGCAGUAGGGAAUCUUCCACAAUGGGCGAAAGCCUGAUGGAGCAACGCCGCGUGGGUGAAGAAGGUCUUCGGAUCGUAAAACCCUGUUGUUAGAGAAGAAGGUGCGUGAGAGUAACUGUUCACGUUUCGACGGUACCUGAGUAAGAAGCCCCGGCUAACUACGUGCCAGCAGCCGCGGUAAUACGGAGGGGGCAAGCGUUAUCCGGAAUUACUGGGUUUAAGGGGAGCGUAGGCCGGUCUUUAAGCGUGCCGGGAAAUUUUGUGGCUCAACCAUGAGAGUGCGGCGCGAACGGGAGACCUUGAGGGCGCGGAAGGCAGGCGGAAUUCGUGGUGUAGCGGUGAAAUGCUUAGAUAUCACGAAGAACCCCGAUUGCGAAGGCAGCCUGCCGCAGCGUUACUGACGCUGAAGCUCGAAAGCGCGGGUAUCGAACAGGAUUAGAUACCCUUGUAGUC
This 465-nucleotide ribosomal RNA is filed under the name uncultured bacterium. Its description in RNAcentral is "partial 16S ribosomal RNA". It matches the Rfam family "Bacterial small subunit ribosomal RNA", at positions 338 to 795 of the family's 1533-position model. The record is from RNAcentral.